GAAAUGCGAUAAGUAAUGCGAAUUGCAGAAUUUCCGUGAGUCAUCGAAUCUUUGAACGCACAUUGCGCCCAUUGGUAUUCCGAUGGGCAUGCCUGUUCGAGUAUCAUGAAAUCUUCAAAGUAAAUCUUUUGUUAACUCAAUUGGUUUCUACUUUGGUAUUGGAGGUCUUUGCAGCUUCACACCUGCUCCUCUUUGUUCAUUAGCUGGAUCUCAGUGUUAUGCUUGGUUCCACUCGGCGUGAUAAGUUAUCUAUCGCUGAGGACACUGUAAAAGGUGGCCAAGGUAAAUGCAGAUGAACCGCUUCUAAUAGUCCAUUGACUUGGACAAUACUUUUAUGAUCUGAUCUCAAAUCAGGUAGGACUACCCGCUGAACUUAAGC
Molecule: unclassified non-coding RNA, 379 nt
Filed under: plant metagenome
Description: partial contains 5.8S ribosomal RNA, internal transcribed spacer 2, and large subunit ribosomal RNA
Rfam family: 5.8S ribosomal RNA (bases 1-106)
Source: RNAcentral